GUUGAUCUAACGGGGUGCCGUUCGUCUUUUUGUGAGGCGGGCGGCUGAGAGGCUGUUGCAGGCCAACCCGAAGAACCUGAUCCGGUUUGUACCGGCGGAGGGAUUAGACGGCACGUUUCA
This 120-nucleotide non-coding RNA is filed under the name Rhizobium sp. Its description in RNAcentral is "TPP sequence". It matches the Rfam family "TPP riboswitch aptamer (THI element)". Rfam says of the family: Vitamin B(1) in its active form thiamin pyrophosphate (TPP) is an essential coenzyme that is synthesised by coupling of pyrimidine and thiazole moieties in bacteria. The previously detected thiamin-regulatory element, thi box was extended, resulting in a new, highly conserved RNA secondary structure, the THI element, which is widely distributed in eubacteria and also occurs in some archaea. Lineage: Bacteria; Pseudomonadati; Pseudomonadota; Alphaproteobacteria; Hyphomicrobiales; Rhizobiaceae. RNAcentral also lists the same sequence under 1 other name. The record is from RNAcentral.